GUUUUCAAUGUAUUAACAGAUUAUAUAAAUUGUGUGACUGAUCUUACUUAAAUAUUACACAAAGUUGUUGCCUGGUCUAUUUCCUUUGGAGAGAUUAACUGGGAGAUCUGGCCAGAUAGGAUGGGUGCUGGUUUUAGUGCUCAUCAGCCUAAAAAAAUCAGAGCCUGUCUGUUAGGCUCCAUGUAAUGUGAGUUGUAUUACUCAUCACACAUUAUUUUGAGUUGGUAUCACACUAUUGUUUGCUUAUUUGCUUAUUCUGUAUGUUAUUCAGUAAUAAAU
Pelobates cultripes (western spadefoot toad) is the source of this 279-nucleotide non-coding RNA. NCBI's taxonomy places the organism in Eukaryota, Metazoa, Chordata, Amphibia, Anura, Pelobatidae. The record is from the annotation of a GenBank genome assembly.